CCUACGGGAGGCAGCAGUGAGGAAUAUUGGUCAAUGGACGAGAGUCUGAACCAGCCAAGUAGCGUGAAGGAUGACUGCCCUAUGGGUUGUAAACUCCUUUUAUAUGGGAAUAAAAUGUUCCACGUGUGGGAUUUUGUAUGUACCAUAUGAAUAAGGAUCGGCUAACUCCGUGCCAGCAGCCGCGGUAAUACGGAGGAUCCGAGCGUUAUCCGGAUUUAUUGGGUUUAAAGGGAGCGUAGGUGGAUUGUUAAGUCAGUUGUGAAAGUUUGCGGCUCAACCGUAAAAUUGCAGUUGAAACUGGCAGUCUUGAGGACAGUAGAGGUGGGCGGAAUUCGUGGUGUAGCGGUGAAAUGCUUAGAUAUCACGAAGAACUCCGAUUGCGAAGGCAGUUCACUGGACUGCAACUGACACUGAGGCUCGAAAGUGUGGUUAUCAAACAGGAUUAGAUACCCCUGUAGUC
This 460-nucleotide ribosomal RNA is filed under the name uncultured bacterium. Its description in RNAcentral is "partial 16S ribosomal RNA". It matches the Rfam family "Bacterial small subunit ribosomal RNA", at positions 338 to 795 of the family's 1533-position model. The record is from RNAcentral.